This is a non-coding RNA of Pelobates cultripes (western spadefoot toad), 9815 nucleotides long. The record is from the annotation of a GenBank genome assembly. Lineage: Eukaryota; Metazoa; Chordata; Amphibia; Anura; Pelobatidae.
CCAGAAAGAAGCUGCCCCCCAAUAACAAGGCUUUCACUGUAACAUCCAGAUCCAGAGGAAAAGACACAGAGAACUGCUCACUCUCAUUCCUGAUCAUCCCCACCACGUGCUGCUCAUCUCGGGACUUUACCUGUGGGCGAGAGACAGAUCUGUAUCACUGACACUCCAUGUACAGCGCCCCCGUCUGUAUAACUGACACUGCACGUAUAGCGCCCCCUGUCUGUAUCACUGACACUGCACGUACAGCGUCCCGUCUGUAUCACUGACACUGCGUGUACAGCGCCCCCUGUCUGUAUCACUGACACUGCACGUACAGCGUCCCGUCUGUAUCACUGACACUGCGUGUAUAGCGUCCCCUGUCUGUAUCACUGACACUGCGUGUAUAGCGUCCCCUGUCUGUAUCAGACACUGCGUGUAUAGCGUCCCCUGUCUGUAUCAGACACUGCCUGUACAGCGUCCCCUGUCUGUAUCAGACACUGCCUGUACAGCGCCCCCUGUCUGUAUCAGACACUGCCUGUACGUGUAUAGCGUCCCCUGUCUGUAUCAGACACUGCGUGUAUAGCGUCCCCUGUCUGUAUCAGACACAGCGUGUAUAGCGUCCCCUGUCUGUAUCAGACACUGCGUGUAUAGCGUCCCCUGUCUGUAUCAGACACUGCGUGUAUAGCGUCCCCUGUCUGUAUCAGACACUGCGUGUAUAGCGUCUCCUGUCUGUAUCAGACACAGCGUGUAUAGCGUCCCCUGUCUGUAUCAGACACUGCGUGUAUAGCGUCCCGUCUGUAUCAGACACUGCCUGUACAGCGCCCCCUGUCUGUAUCACUGAUACUGCAUGUACAGCCCCCCUGUCUGUAUCACUGACACUGCAUGUACAUCGCCCCGUCUGUAUCACUGACACUGUAUGUACAGCGCCCCCUGUCUGUAUCACUGACACUGUUUGUACAGCGCCCCCUGUCUGUAAAACUGCAUGUAUACACUGCGCCCCCGUCUGUGUCACUGACACUGCAUGUAUAGCGCCCCCUGUCUGUAUCACUGACACUGUAUGUACAGCGCCCCCCCUGUCUGUAUCACUGACACUGAAUGUAUAGCGCCUCUUGUCUGUAUCACUGACACUGUAUGUACACUGCCCCCUGGCAAAGCUUUCUACCUCAAAGUUGGAAUUCCCAAAUAUAUUGGUCUGAAAACUGGGUCCGAUGAUUAACAGCAGAACCUCGUCAGCAGGAUUUCGCAAUGAGAGAUGUGUAACAAACGAGUCCAGGUGUAACCUCACACUUCCAAGUAGGUCUCCAGUAAGACUAUAGACCUGCAGCUGUCACAGAGAGAGACAGAGAGAGAUUGCUGCUACGCAUUAAAAUAAGACAAUGAAAGAUUUCUAAUAUGCUUACAACAUGAGACUACAAGUCUUCACAGCCAGUAUUGGAGAACGCUCACUGCUCCUAUUGGCUCUGUUUCCUGACCUCAUCCCCAGUCUGUGUGAUUUCUGGCUGUCACCCUUCAUACUAAACAUGAUCUAAAUGCAAACAAGGCACUUUAUGCACAUUCUCACAGAGGACAAACAUUGCUAACGUGCUUUGUGUAAAUCCAGUCUGCUUAUGUCCAGAUAAAUAUGCCAUCCGUGAAAUCCACAGCACCGUCUCACCUGCCGCGUGCAGGUACACGCACACUCCUGGAUCAGUUCCAGAACAUCUCUGUCGCUGUUAUCGGAGAUUUUUACAUUAUACACCGGUCCACAACACUGAUACUCCUGCUUGGCCUGAAAUAAUCUCUGCCCCACAGGGUCCAAGACAUCGAACAUCCGACCCCAACCCUGGGACACAGAGACUGAGACAGAGAAACACAGAUUAUGUAACAAAAUAAUACAUAUUAAGGGUGAAAUUAUUAAACACACAAACUGCUAAAUUAAAGGGACACUCUUGUCACAAGACAAUUUUAUCUUAAAGCCGUUUGUGUAUCGAUCAUGCCCCUGCAGUCUCACGGGCUCAAUUCUCUGCCAUGUAGGAGUUAAAUCACUUUACGUUUACGGGUUAUACAGCCCUAGUCAUACCUCCCAUGGCUGUGACUGACAACCUGCAUGAAAGAACGGUUUCAUUAGCAAUCCGAUGUUAACUUGGGGCUCAGUGUUAAACUCCUACCCUGCAGACAGACAUUACUUCUCCAGAUUGGCAUUAUCUGUCAUUCGUAUUUAUUCUAUCUCGAUACUUUAAUUACAGAGGCCAGCGGGGAAAGUGGGUAUUCAUUUUACCUUCUAUAUAGAUAGCAGCGUUUAGCUUAUUAGGUGCCCUCGAAGGCACAGAUUUAGGGAUUACUUAGAACGAAUUAGUAUUGGGUGGUUUCACCAUCAGGUAUAUUUGUGCCCUUGAAGAUACAGAUUUAGGGAUUACCUAUGCCUUAGAUCUGCUCCACCUCAUAUUGUUUCUAUUCUCUCAAGGUAUCCUAUGCACAUUCUGCAAUCUACCUACUUAUCCUAAUAUUGCUCUAUCUAUAUACUGCUACUAUAGGGAUAUAUAUCCAUUUUUUAAGACAUUUAGGUGAUGGUCCCCUCCUUUUUGAGGCUCACCUAGUACUAUAGUCUCUUGCUACUAACGAGAUAUGCUGUUACUGCACAGAUGGCUACUUUGUUUCUUUGCUCUGUGUUGCACUUCCUAUUUAGGGACCUGGUUAAAUUGUUAAAUACUUUUCUUUACACAUUUCUCCAAUAUAGUAAUUUAGCAGUAUAUUCGCUCUUUUUAAUCCCGGUGGUUUUGCCAUUCAGAUUUCCUUCUUCUAUAUAGCAAUGGUACAGCGAAUUCUUUUCUAUUUUCUUUUUAUUACCCCAUUAUUUUCCCAUGCCUUUCAGUUACUCCCUUUUAAUUAUACCCAUUAAAUAUUAUAUUUUAAUAUAUUUUGUCUAUUCCAGUGAUGCUAUUAGGACAGAUCACAUUUUUCUGUUUUCCAAUUUUCUCCAAGGGUUACCCCGUAGUGUCUGUCCUAGAUACUUUCGAUAUAGUAUUUCGCUUCCACCUGUUCUUUUUUCAUCCGAUGUUAACUUACUUUACAAGUUUUUAUCUCUUGGUCUUUAAAUUUAACUUUAAUCACAUACAAUCGGAUCCUGCAAGGUCUAGCAAGCAAUUAACAGAGCAGGAGAUAAGAAAUUCAAAAUUAAACAGACUGUGUGUGGCAAACCUAGCCACUUGAACUAUAACUAGAGACUGUGCCUUUAAGGGUUGCCUACAGGUCUGGGGAGAUAUGCGCUUUAUUCUUUUUUUUUUGUAUAUAUCAUUUUUAUUGAGGGUUCAACAUCAUAGUAUUACACAGUAGGAUCUAAUACAUUGGAGCCGUAAGAAACGGGUACAGGAACAGAUCUGAGUGGCAAUUGAUUUCCAGUUACCUAAUUAUUCAAGCGAUGCUUCAGGGUGCCACAUAUACAACAGCUCCAUAGGCUGUUAUUCCGUAAUUGCUCUACUGGUUUCCUCAGAGUUGAGAGGUUUGCCAACGUGGCUAUAACCCUUGAUUUCUCAAGAAGAAAAAAAGGGGGGGGGGGAGGAUGGAAGUAGGUGGGAGAUGUCGGGAACUAGGGGGAAAAAAGAGGGGGGGGGGGUUUCGGGAUGCUCCCCUAUACAUGUGUAUUAGAGGGAGGUGUUCGUCGCCAUGCUGUCACGGUCAUCUACCAUUUGGACCAAAUGCCCUUAUACUUCAGUAGGGUACCACUAAUCGUGUGCGACAUUUCCUCAUACUGUUGGGUGAGAUUCACUUUGGUAAUUACCGACUGUAUGUCUGGUGCUAAGGUGGAUUUCCAUAGGGCAGCUAUUCGUUGCUUUGCAGCAAGCGUGAUGUGGGUGAUCAGUGUGGCCUCGUGGGCUGUUAUUUCGGGUGGCAUCAUAUGGAGCAGGUAGUGUUCAGGGGCAGGUGGUAGGUCUAUCCCUACUCUGAGUUUUAUCAGAUCUUGGAUUUGUUGCCAGUAUUGGCUGAGUGCAGGGCAGUACCAGAAUAUAUGGCUUAGGGUGCCUUCUUGUUGGUUACAGCGCCAGCACGUUGCCCGGGAGCCCGGGUAUAUUUCGGCCAGCCGUUGAGGCGUAUAGUACCAUCGAAGCCAUAACUUGUAGGCCGCUUCUACGUGGUCUAGGCAGUGUGUGGCUUUUUUUACUAAUGACAUGGCCCUCAUCCAUCUGUGCGGCUCAAAGGUACUUUUCAGCUCCCUUUCCCAAUGUAACAUGUAGGAUUGUUUUGUUGGCCUGUCUAAGUCUAAUAGGCGAUGGUAACAUAGGGACAAUGGCUUUUUGGGGGUUUUUUGGCCCAGGCACAUCGUGUCAAAACAGUUGUGGGGUUGUGUGAGCAUGGUUAGUUUUUUGACGUCUCCUAUUAUGUGUUUAAUACGAAUGUAUGUGAAGAUCUCCUUGUUAGGUAUGAGGUAUUUUUUCUGGAGGUCGGGGAAUGGUAGUAGACCAUCUAUUCCCAGGAGAUGUGAUAUUCUGGUCACUCCUUGUCCUAUCCAUCCCUGCAAGGGGAGGUCGUGAGUGUGGUGCUGGAGAGUAGUCAGCGGGGCAAGGGCUUCUAUGUUCCCACCGGUCAUUUUUGGGGCCCAUCUGAGCCACACCUGGAGUGAUCCCCUCGAUGUCGAGAGUAGCUUGGGAUAAUGGGGUUGGGCCUUUGUCGUGGUCCACAGUAGGUCGCCGAGGGAUAGAGGCGCGCUGAAUGCACUCUCUAGGUGGAACCACAUUGGGUAGUCUGAGGGAGCCAGAAGGCGUGCCAUCUGGGCCAGGUGUGUCGCUAGAUAGUAUUUGGUUAUGUGGGGCACACCCACCCCACCUCCUCCCAUAACCAUACUGAUGUUCGCCAGAGAUACCCUUGGUGGUUUCCGUUUCCAUAUGUGCGCAUUAAUAAGGCUUUGGAAUGCCCGGAGGGUGUACUUGGGGAGGGUAAUCGGUAGGGCUCUAAAAAGAAAUAGUAUUUGUGGGAGGAUGACCAUUUUGAUGGCAUUAUACGUCCUAGCCAAGAUGUGUUUUUGGUGCCCCAGCUAUCCAGCCGUCGUUCUAUGUCUCCCAUCAAUUUCCUAUGGUUAUGUCUUAUGAGUUUGGUUUUUGAGGGUGUCAGCUGUGUGCCUAAAUAAGAGAGGGUGUCCUUCCUCCAUUCGAAGGGGUGGAGUACUUUAAGAGAUUCAAGUUGGGAUCUGGGCAGGUUCAUGGGUAGCACCUGUGUUUUUGCUAUGUUGUUUUUAUAGUAAGAUACACGGCCGUAGUCGUGCAAAAGGUGCAGUAGAGUGGGGAGUGAGUCUGAGGGCCUGGUGAGAAAAAGGAGGAUGUCAUCCGCAAACACUGCUAGUUUAUGUUGUCCCGUUGGUGAGGGGACCCCCGCGAUGUUAGAGUUUGCCUUGAUUUUGUGGAGUAGGGGUUCCAUUGCGAGAAUGAAUAUGAGGGGCGAGAGUGGGCAGCCCUGUCGUGUGCCGUUCGUCAGAUCAAAGCGUCUAGAGACGAAGCCAGAGCUCAUGACAGUCGCCCGGGGGGAAGUGUACAGGGAUAAGAGUCCAGUCAGGAAUUGGGGCGGAAAAUUAAACUUGCGCAGGACCUCCGACAUAUAGCCCCAGUGGAGCCUGUCGAAGGCUUUCUCCGCAUCUAGGGCAACUAUAAGGCCUUGUAACCGGUCAGAGUCCAUGAGUUCCAUUAUGUCCAGGGCCCGUCUGGUGUUGUCCUCAACCUGGCGGCCCGGGACAAAGCCCGACUGCUCAGGUGAGACGAGUUGGCUUAGGAGGGGUCGGAUACGGUUUGCUAGGACCUUGGCGAACAGUUUGGUGUCGGCAUUGAGGAGCGAGAUCGGGCGGUAGUUUGCACAUAGGUCUGUGGGUUUGCCUGGUUUGGGAAUUGUGACAAUUGUGGCUUCCAACAUCUCUGGGGGUAUGUUACCCGUGACUAGAAUGUGGUUAAAUAAUGCCGUGAGGUGGGGGAGUAGUUGGUCCUCAAACACCUUAUAAUAGUGUACGGAGUAGCCGUCCGGUCCUGGGGCGUCUCGUAGUGCCCUGGUGAUCUCGGCUGGUAGGAUCGGGGUGGUCAUCGUUGCGGCCUGCGCGGUGGAGAGCUGGGGGAGAUGUAUACCCUCCAGGAAGGUGGCGAUGUUCUGAGGGGUGGGCUGGUGCUGGGUGGAAUCCCCGGAGAGAUUGUAUAAUUUUGCGUAAAAAGUAGCAAAUUCGUCUACAAUCGCUUUGGGGUUCAUGAUUUUGGUUCCAUGUUCAUCCUUGAUAUAGGGGAUUUUUACCUGGGAGCUUCUCGCCUUAAGCUGAGAGGCCAGCAGUUUACCAGCUCUAUUCCCCUGCCUAUAGUAAGUUGUUUUCAUCUUCCUAAUGGCUCUCUCUACCCGUUGCAUUUGUAGUGUUUCUAACGUGGAUCUAAUGUUUUGGACUUCGAGUCUAUGGGGUUCAGUGGGUGAGGCUUUGUGUCGUGAUUCGGCUAACUGUAAUUCCUUCAGUAGGGAGUCACUUUUUUCAGAUAGUUGGCGCUUCAGUUUUGUCCCCAUCUGUAUGAGUGCUCCACGGGUGACUGCCUUGUGGGCUAGCCAUGUCGUGGUGACGCUCGUGUGAUUGUAGUGAUUGACUUCGAAGUAAUGUGUUAGUGAUUUCUGGAUCUCAGAGGCCCUCUCAGGGUUAUCUAUGAGGGACUCAUUGAGCCUCCAUUGCCCCCGUCCUCGGACUGGGUGUAGUGUGGUAAAUGAUGAUGUGAGGGGGGCAUGGUCUGACCAGGUUAUCGGGGCAAUAGCGACCUCCGCUAGGGUAUCCAGGGUUUUAGUGUCGACCCAACACAUGUCGAUGCGCGAAUAUUGGUCAUGGACCUUGGAGUAAAAGGUGUAGUCCCUAGAGGCUGGGUAGAGUGCCCGCCAGGUGUCAUGCAGGUUAUGGAGAUGGAGGAGCGUCGUCAGUUUGUCCCCUAGGAGCUUGUCUCUUGGGUGGGAGCCCGGUGUCCCUGAUCUGUCUAGGUCAGGGUCUAACACACAGUUAAAGUCCCCGCAUAUCAUCGUCUGUCCCUUCUUUAGUUUGUCAACCUUUCUCAGUGCCUUUCGUAGGAAGUCGUUAUGCGCUUUAUUCUUAUGUAUGUGCUUGAUGUAUUUUCUGCAGAGACUGUAAUUACUGUUUAGCCGAAUGCCAAUGGUGGUGUAUGGGGAUUCCCGUUCGUUUCACGAACGGCACUUUGGAGGGCCGUUCGUGAGGCGAACGCGAUACCCCCUCAUAGCCCACACACUUAGAGGCGUGUGGCGCUAGUUAACCGAUUGCAACAUUGUUGCAAUCGGUAAUUAGAGGCUCUCCUGGGUGGCCGUCGUUCGACUACCGACCAUGCGGCGGUCGGCCAUCUUGGAUCCUUUGUUCCUCAGCGGGUCCGUGUUGUCGUACGCAUAGUAUUACCAAUAGCUAUUCGACGGCACGAACACCGCUGAGCCUCCAGGACGUUCGGGAGUUUCAGAACCGUGUUCACUAAAAGUAAUCGGUUCUUUUCGUAUGUUUUGAAAGAAAUGUGUUUUCUGUGCGGCGUUCGGUUAUUCUGGCUGGGAUCUGAGCGGCAAUCUCACGAAUGAUGCGCCCAGACCCCAGCUAUCUACCGAACGUCCAUUCGUGCAAAUCCACCGUGUAUUUUAAAAGUUAUAGAUUUUUGUGUGAAUUGCCGGUUCUGCUGCACGAGGGGAUAAUCCCCUUAACGGUGCAUUCUGGGAGGAUGAUCCCUCUCGUGCAGCAAUGCCUGAUGGGAGAAAUAUGUUGUACUGUAAGUCCCCCAUGUAGUCCCCUCUGGGAGUGCCCCUGGGGAGGGACUCAGGAAACCCCUUGCAUGGGGACUUGUAUAAAUUGUCGUGCCGAUUAAAGGAUUGUCAGUUGACUCCCAAAACUGUGUCUCGUCCGGUUAUUGGGAGGUUGGGGAUAUUGCCUUGUUGUUGUCAGCGCUUGACUGUGGAUUCGUUUCUGGACCAGCGGAAUUCGUGGAUUUAUUAUUGGCGUUCCGCUACACUGUGUAAUAAGGGAAGUGUAAACAUAAGCUCUUUCUUAUAGGAAGUGUUUACGAAGGCUGUGAAAGUGUGCAGGGAGGUGUGACUAGGGCUGUAUAAACAAAGUUAUUAAACUUCUGAAUGUCAGUGAAUUGAGCAGUGAGACUGUAGGGGUAUGAUCUAUACACCAAAACUGCUUCAUUAAGCUAAAGUUGUUUUGGUGGCUAUAGCGUCCCUUUAACCUUCAAGAAGGUUCUGGUAACACACACACAUUUUCAUCAAAUUAGGAUGUUAUCGAGUGCAGCAAUGUUUGCUCUAAGCCAAGGAUGUCUUGCGUCUAGAUCAGGGGUAGGCAACCUACGGCACUAGUGCCAUGCACGGCACUCAAGGCUGCUAGAGCCAAACAGGCUCUGGCCUAUCAGGAGUCCCAGUACAACUUCAGAUAUAUGCUAAUACGAAGAGGUGGUGAAGGACAAUUUAUGCCUAUCCUCAAUUUAUGCAUUGCAGCACGUAGAGGAAGUGAUCUCAGAGCACUUCAUUCCAGCACUUGUGAAUGGGAAUCAACACAGUAGUAGAGAAACCUGCAGUUGUUGUUGCAGCUCCUGUCCUUGACCUGUACCUGGCCGGCCUGCUCCCCACUGGAACCCAGGGAAUCCACCCACACUGCUAGAUGUACACAGAAAUGCAGAAAGACCCUCCCCUCAUACAAAUAAUACGGACAGCCCACACACAAACAUACACACAAUCCGCACAAACGCAACACCUCUAACAAUCCACAUACAUGCACACAACCCCACAUGCAGCUCUCACAUGCUAUACCCCAAACAGCCCCCACACAUACACACACUACCAAACACACAAGGUGACAUUUCCAUCCACACACAAUUCCACAAGCUGCCCCAAUACACAGCCCACAUUCAUAUGUAUCAUACACAAUACCACAAUCUACUCAUGAACAUAUACAAUAUAAUAGCUCAUAUACGCACAAAUACAACGAUACAAAGCAAUUACAGGAUAAAUAAUACAAGCAGAAUACGGCAGCAUACACACCUCAAUUUAAAAAAAUAGGACCGGCGCGCUACGGGACAUCACAAUCCUAUAUCGGCACAGUGCUGCUAAAAGGUUGCCUACCUCUGGUCUAGAUCAUGUGGAUUUAGAGGUCAGUCCUUUUUUCAUUACAUAAAUCGUUUAUGUGUCGAUUCAAUAUACAAUAUUAUUGUAACUAACAGGAAUGUGUGGAAUUCAGUGCAGUGACCCCAUAAACACUGGAAUCCAGUCAGAACAAUUCGUAUUCAUGAUAACAAGCUCAGAACAUUACAGAGUUGGGUUUAGGAAGAGAAAGUAAGAAAUUCAGAAACCCCAGCGGCGAAUUCAGGAGGAGAAAGAUUGAGGGACGAGAGCAGGCGAUAUAAUGAAAAGUCUUACAUUUGGCCCGCACGGUCAUCUGAUUUAUCUGGGAAGAAAAUGAAUAAAAAUGUGAUUAAUAAACAUAUAAAUGCAAAUCACGUGACCUGCAUACGAUCGUUCACCCUGUCAGCACAAUAGCACCCUUUAUUUAGCCCCAUCUUGUUUCUGACUACCAUCUGACACCCGCACAUUGUAACCUAUUUGUAGAGUAAAACAGGUUUUCUGCAUUCCGAGACGUGUCACUCAGGACGAAUGCGGGAAAGUCCGUGCAGGUUACACGUUUCAUUCGUGCAACUCGGUCAUUGUGUAUUUUGCCAAAGGGAAUGUUGGUCUGUACCUGUUAGAGCUAGAAAGCUUAGUUUCAAGACACUUAAUACACAUACACACAUCUUGUAGCAGCCUAUAAAAUAUGACCCAUAGUACACAUUGAUAAUCUUCAUAUGGCCGUUUAACACCCCUUGUGCACUGUUCGACACUAU